RNAcentral lists this ribosomal RNA (501 nucleotides) under uncultured bacterium. Its description in RNAcentral is "partial 16S ribosomal RNA". It matches the Rfam family "Bacterial small subunit ribosomal RNA", at positions 30 to 523 of the family's 1533-position model. The record is from RNAcentral.
AUUGAACGCUGGCGGAAUGCUUUACACAUGCAAGUCGAACGGCAGCACGGGUGCUUGCACCUGGUGGCGAGUGGCGAACGGGUGAGUAAUAUAUCGGAACGUAUCCAAUAAUGGGGGAUAACUAGCCGAAAGGUUAGCUAAUACCGCAUACGCCCUGAGGGGGAAAGCUGGGGAUCGUAAGACCUAGCGUUUAUGGAGCGGCCGAUAUCUGAUUAGCUAGUUGGUGGGGUAAGAGCCUACCAAGGCGACGAUCAGUAGCUGGUCUGAGAGGACGACCAGCCACACUGGAACUGAGACACGGUCCAGACUCCUACGGGAGGCAGCAGUGGGGAAUGUUGGACAAUGGGUGCAACCCUGAUCCAGCCAUCCGCGUGAGUGAAGAAGGCCUUCGGGUUGUAAAGCUCUUUCGCAAGGGAAGAAAACUCGAUCUCUAAUAUAGGUUGAGGCUGACGGUACCUUGAUAAGAAGCACCGGCUAACUACGUGCCAGCCGCCGCUGUAA